Molecule: ribosomal RNA, 301 nt
Filed under: uncultured bacterium
Lineage: Bacteria
Description: partial 16S ribosomal RNA
Rfam family: Bacterial small subunit ribosomal RNA
Source: RNAcentral
CAGCCGCCGCGGUAACACGUAGGGUGCGAGCGUUAAUCGGAGUUACUGGGCGUAAAGCGUGCGUAGGCGGUUCGUUAAGUCUGUUGUGAAAGCCCCGGGCUCAACCUGGGAAUGGCAAUGGAUACUGGCGAGCUAGAGUGUGUCAGAGGAUGGUGGAAUUCCCGGUGUAGCGGUGAAAUGCGUAGAGAUCGGGAGGAACAUCAGUGGCGAAGGCGGCCAUCUGGGACAACACUGACGCUGAGGCACGAAAGCGUGGGGAGCAAACAGGAUUAGAUACCCCCGUAGUCCCUGUCUCUUAUAC